UACGGACAUAUCACGUUGAAACAUUGGUUCCCGUAUGAUCACCGAAAUUAAGCAACGUCGAGCCUCGUAACUACUUAGAUGGGUGACCGCUUGGAAAUACCAAGUACUGUAAG
This is a non-coding RNA of Acanthosepion pharaonis, 113 nucleotides long. The record is from the annotation of a GenBank genome assembly. Lineage: Eukaryota; Metazoa; Mollusca; Cephalopoda; Sepiida; Sepiidae.